Molecule: ribosomal RNA, 468 nt
Filed under: uncultured bacterium
Lineage: Bacteria
Description: partial 16S ribosomal RNA
Rfam family: Bacterial small subunit ribosomal RNA
Source: RNAcentral
GACGAACGCUGGCGGCGUGCUUAACACAUGCAAGUCGAACGGAAAGGCCCUGCUUUUGUGGGGUGCUCGAGUGGCGAACGGGUGAGUAACACGUGAGUAACCUGCCCUUGACUUUGGGAUAACUUCAGGAAACUGGGGCUAAUACCGGAUAGGAGCUCCUGCUGCAUGGUGGGGGUUGGAAAGUUUCGGCGGUUGGGGAUGGACUCGCGGCUUAUCAGCUUGUUGGUGGGGUAGUGGCUUACCAAGGCUUUGACGGGUAGCCGGCCUGAGAGGGUGACCGGGCAGGUGGGGGGAGAGAUCAGCCGCGGCAGGAACCGGUGGUCAGGCGGGGGGGCGAGUGCGCAGGGGACGGGGGCUAGAUGGAGCGCUGCCGCGUGGGGGGUGGGGAACUUGGGGUUGUAGAGAAAAGGAGCACCUAAUAACGAGUGAGCGACGGUAACGGGGAAAAGAGCAGAGGCUAACUGCGUG